This 240-nucleotide long non-coding RNA is filed under the name Sorghum bicolor (sorghum). RNAcentral describes it as "long non-coding RNA (SBIC_LNC017358)". Lineage: Eukaryota; Viridiplantae; Streptophyta; Magnoliopsida; Poales; Poaceae. The record is from RNAcentral.
CAUAAUCAUCUCUUGCUUCAUCACUUGGUAUGUACCAACCUCAUCUAAUCUACACACUUAGUAUAGAUGUUAGUACUUUGGAUUUCAUCAAUUAUCUAAAACCAAACUAGGGCUUUCACUGGGUUGUCUGCUAACACCAACCAAGAGAUGGCUAAGGAGCUCUGAGUUGCCUCCAAGGAAACGAUAGGGUUAGAGUUGUAAAGAACAUUAAUUACUUGGUUCUUUAUUUAGAAUAUGCAG